GACGAACCGUGCGAACGUUAUUCGGAAUCACUGGUCUUAAAGCGCGUGUAGGCGGAGCGGUACGUCGGCCACUGAAAGCCCCCGGCUCAACCGGGGAAGGGGUGCCGAAACGGCCAUUCUGGAGGGACGUAGGGGGACCUGGAACUUCCGGUGGAGCGGUGAAAUGCGUUGAGAUCGGAAGGAACGCCCGUGGCGAAAGCGAGGUCCUGGACGUCUACUGACGCUGAGACGCGAAAGCUAGGGGAGCGAACGGG
Molecule: ribosomal RNA, 254 nt
Filed under: uncultured Singulisphaera sp.
Lineage: Bacteria; Pseudomonadati; Planctomycetota; Planctomycetia; Isosphaerales; Isosphaeraceae
Description: partial 16S ribosomal RNA
Rfam family: Bacterial small subunit ribosomal RNA
Source: RNAcentral